RNAcentral lists this ribosomal RNA (552 nucleotides) under uncultured archaeon. RNAcentral describes it as "bacterial SSU rRNA". It matches the Rfam family "Archaeal small subunit ribosomal RNA", at positions 326 to 879 of the family's 1478-position model. The record is from RNAcentral.
CGGGGUGCCCAGGCGCGAAAACUUCACAAUGGGGGCAACCCCGAUGAGGGAAUUCCAAGUGCUAGCACUUUUUGUGUUAGCUGUUCUCCUGUCUAAAAAACAGGAGAAGUAAGGGCCGGGUAAGACGGGUGCCAGCCGCCGCGGUAAUACCCGCGGCCCGAGUGGUGGUCGAUAUUAUUGAGCCUAAAACGUUCGUAGCCGGUCUUGUAAAUCCUUGGGUAAAUCGGCCAGCUUAACUGUCCGAAGUCCGGGGAGACUGCAAGACUUGGGAUCGGGAGAGGUCAGAGGUACUUCUGGGGUAGGGGUAAAAUCCUGUAAUCCUAGAAGGACCACCGGUGGCGAAGGCGUCUGACUAGAACGAAUUCGACGGUGAGGAACGAAGCCCUGGGGCGCAAACGGGAUUAGAUACCCCGGUAGUCCAGGGUGUAAACGCUGCGGGCUUGGUGUUGGGGGUCCUUAGUGGGCGCCCAGUGCCGGAGAGAAGUUGUUAAGCCUGCUGCUUGGGGAGUACGUCCGCAAGGAUGAAACUUAAAGGAAUUGGCGGGGGAGCAC